GACGAACGCUGGCGGCGUGCUUAACACAUGCAAGUCGAACGGAAAGGCCCUGCUUUUGUGGGGUGCUCGAGUGGCGAACGGGUGAGUAACACGUGAGUAACCUGCCCUUGACUUUGGGAUAACUUCAGGAAACUGGGGCUAAUACCGGAUAGGAGCUCCUGCUGCAUGGUGGGGGUUGGAAAGUUUCGGCGGUUGGGGAUGGACUCGCGGCUUAUCAGCUUGUUGGUGGGGUAGUGGCUUACCAAGGCUUUGACGGGUAGCCGGCCUGAGAGGGUGACCGGGCACAUUGGGACUGAGGUACGGCCCAGACUCCUACGGGAGGCAGCGGUGGGGAAUAUUGCACAAUGGGCGGAAGCCUGAUGCAGCAACGCCGCGUGCGGGAUGACGGCCUGCGGGUUGUAAACCGCUUUCGCCUGUGACGAAGCGUGAGUGACGGUAAUGGGUAAAGAAGCACCGGCUAACUACGUG
RNAcentral lists this ribosomal RNA (468 nucleotides) under uncultured bacterium. Its description in RNAcentral is "partial 16S ribosomal RNA". It matches the Rfam family "Bacterial small subunit ribosomal RNA", at positions 28 to 507 of the family's 1533-position model. The record is from RNAcentral.